This 869-nucleotide long non-coding RNA is filed under the name Homo sapiens (human). RNAcentral describes it as "HSALNT0409232". Lineage: Eukaryota; Metazoa; Chordata; Mammalia; Primates; Hominidae. The record is from RNAcentral.
GUUUCUGUAAAAAUAUAAAAUUGUGACAUACACCUAAAGAAGCACCUAAGUAAGACGACCCUCUUUUUCUGCCUGAGGCCAGCCUACUGGUGACAUUGGGCCAUAUUUCUGAGCCUAUGACCCAAGUGAUGUGACUCCCUAUUUCAGCCUGGGACUUUUCAGUGAGAAGAUUGUGACAAAUUGAUGAGCCCAACACUUAGGUAAUGUGACUCUUGUCUUGUAACUGAACAAUGUGCACAAAGAGGACUUUUGCUGUAUUUCCUGGCCCUGCACCUGGAUGAUGUUACUCUUCUUUCUACCUCAUGCAUAAAGAGAAAAUUAUGGCAUAUUUCUCGGGCCAGCACCAUAAUCAUGUGACUCUCCUGCCUGUACCAGAGCCACAGAAGGUAUAUUGACAUAUCUUUGGCCCAUUCUGUACGUGUUUUGGCUCUCAUCAUUUCCCUGGGUUUCUUCCACAUGUGGUUGUAUCAUAUUGUUGGCUGCAGCCCUUGCUUUAUGUGAUGCUCUUUGCUAGGCCCUGCCUAAAGGAGGUAUUGUGAUAUAUUGUUUGGACUAACUCAAAAGUGAUGUUAACAUUCUCUUUGGUUUUUUGCUCACAAAUGGGAUUAUGACAUGUACCUAGUUUCGGAUCAAAGCAUGCUGAUCAAGCUUAUAUUGGGAUACAGUGAAUAGGAGAUAUUUCACCUGUCACCACUUUGUUUACAUCAAAAGGGGGAAUCUUGAUAAAUCACUAAAAUCGGCAUCCUGGUGAUUUGACUCUUCUUCCAUUGUCCUGCCCACAAGAAGGAUUGUGACAUCUUACUGGACCAGCACCCACCUAGGUCUUUCUCCUAUGACAUAAAACUCAGAAGCCAUUGAAAGCAAGAUUG